Molecule: long non-coding RNA, 87 nt
Organism: Mycetomoellerius zeteki
Lineage: Eukaryota; Metazoa; Arthropoda; Insecta; Hymenoptera; Formicidae
Exons: 3
Source: RefSeq, a predicted model, not a curated record
CGUGUAGAGGAUCGAUAAACUAAGAAAAAAAAUUCCUGUAAAGAUAUACUCGUUUUUGCUUCGUUUUGAAGAAAAUCGCAAAAAAGA